GAUGAACGCUGACAGCCUGCUUAACACAUCAGCAAUUGAUUGGUGGCGGACGGGGGAGUAACGCGUAAAGAACUUGCCUCACAGGUAAGGACAACAUUUGGAAACAAAUGCUAAUACCUAAUACUUUGAGAGAGCUUUGCGUCCCAUUAGCUAGUUGGAGAGGUAACGGCUCACCACGGCGAUGAUGGGUAGCCGGCCUGGGAGGGUGAUCGGCCACAAGGGGACUUAGACAGGGCCAUUACUCCUUCGGGAGGCAGCGGUGGGGAAUAUUGGACAAUGGACCAAAGUCUGAGCCAGCAAUUCUGUGUGCACGAUGAAUUUUUCGGAAUGUAAAGUGCUUUCAGUUGGGAAGCGGUACCAACAUAAGAAGUGACGGCUAAAUACGUGCCAGCAGCCGCGGUAAUUC
This 406-nucleotide ribosomal RNA is filed under the name uncultured bacterium. RNAcentral's name for it is "partial 16S ribosomal RNA". It matches the Rfam family "Bacterial small subunit ribosomal RNA", at positions 28 to 526 of the family's 1533-position model. The record is from RNAcentral.